This is a long non-coding RNA of Fundulus heteroclitus (mummichog), 4174 nucleotides long. RefSeq lists it as uncharacterized. The transcript is spliced from 2 exons. The record is from RefSeq and is a predicted model, not a curated record. NCBI's taxonomy places the organism in Eukaryota, Metazoa, Chordata, Actinopteri, Cyprinodontiformes, Fundulidae.
AUUUAUGAAGGUAUAACGUGCUUUUAUUGUGCAAUAUAUUUGCUUUGAGGCCUGUCUGUUUACCAGAAGAAGAGAAUGUGAAUAGGUUCUGUGUAUGAGUAUCAGGAGAACUUUCAAGGCCAGUCCGAGGCAGUGGGAAAGAACAGAAACUCCAGUUCACAUGCAGCUGGAGAAAGUAAUGAGGGAAGAUAGUUAUUAGGGAGUAAGAUAGCGAUAGGAUGUGUGCGUCAUUCAUUGUGUGACUUUGUAUAAUCUGUGUUCUAACUUUAAUAAAACUAGCCUGAGCGGGAGAGAGAGCGAGAGUUGUUGCCCGGAAUCGGCAGGUGUAUCAUCUCUCCCCUUUGCAAAGGUGAAACUGAAAUUCUGCGUCCAUGGCUGAGUUAUUAUUUUAAAGUCCUGCACAACGAAUUAACGAACCCGGGGAAGCAGACGGCUUCAACAUUUGGGGGCUCGGUCCGGGAUUCGGGGUGACAGGCAGAAUUGGACUUCAGAUUGGAUCGAAAGGACGAGGGACACUGGCUGGCCACAACAAAACAAGGUAGGCAGAACCUGAAUCUGCAUUUUCGGCUUAGAAAAAUAGUCUAAAUUAAGUGUCCCAAGUCUCAGUAGAACUAAAUCUGCUAAAUUAAUGCUUUGGAGUGCCUUGGAGCAGUACUGAAAAAGUGUGGUUCAGAAAUGUAUUGAGAAUUUUGAAAAAAAAGAGAGAAAAGAAAAGAGAACGAGACCAGGCAAAAAUAGUUCUGACAUAAAAUAACAGAAAUAGAGGAAGACCUGUGAGUUCCGAAAUCUAAAGGUGUUUCUCGAGCGUGGCGGCUCACUGCGGUUCUCGACGGGGAACCGUCUUUUUGCUGGGUUAGAGGCCCGAGAAGUGAGAAACCUCGAAUUCUACAUAAAAGGUUGAGCGAGAUCAGGCAAUACACAUUGAAUGGAUGCGGAGAUAACAGAGUGACUCUGUGAAGCUCCGAUUACAGACGAAAUAAAGUUCUGAUAUAACAUUACAGAACUAAGAACAGAGUAAAAUAUAAGUUGUGCGGAUAACACAACAAGAAAAAGUCCUGUGAGCUUUAAAUCUUUUUUUUUAACAAACCGUGACCUGACGUAGAAACAGGGAGACCGGUUUAUGAGCCGUGAGCUGGACACACACACACCCAGCGAGAAUCGGACAGGGAAUAAAGAUAAAGAUAAAAUGAAUGAGCUGUUGGCUGAACACACAAUCAGCUAUGACAGACUUUUGUUAAAAAAAAAAAAAAAACAGUUUGAAUGUUGAGUGCUUGACUGGGGGAGAACGCCAAAACGCGAGCGAUCCCCACUUGCUGCGGGUUUGCAUGAGCCAUAAUAUUAAACAGCAGGACCCACUCUGAUCAAAUUUAACAUUUAGCUACAUGGGUAAAAUAAUACAAUUCAGGUUUAAGAGGUGACUUAACAAACAGAAAAUAGCUAAAAUUCCAGGAAGCUAUCUUUAAUAAAUCGGGAAAUCUAAAAGGUAAAUACAGAGCAACACUCUGGGAGUUUUUUAGAACAAGGAGUUUUCAUAUAAAAAAAAAAAAGAAAAAAAAAAAGAGAGAGACGUCUCGCAGAACACCACGCGCAAGCUGUCUGUCUGUCUUGUACAACAUAUUGUGUCUGUGGAAAUGAGAUCAUUUUGUUUGAGUGAGUGGGGGAGAGACUGCUUGGAUCCGCGGAGAUUGAUGUCUGUGCGCUAAUGGGUUUUUGUGUGUAAGUCUGUGUGUGUAGAUUUGUGCGUAUGACAGAGCUGAGAAUAGCAACUGAAGCGUAAGAGGUGCAUUUGAUCAGGAUAUUAGUGAAAAUAAAUAGAAUUGUGCAGCAUGGAUAUCAAUGGGAUGACAGAUCGAUGUAUUUGUGGCUUUUUUGCCGCAACAAAGCGUUCUGAGUGCAACCAGCAGUUAGUCGAGGCAAAAAACAAAAAACAAAAAAAACAAAAAAAAAACGGAACUUUAGAAGCUCCGUUUCGCGGGGGAAACAUUUUAGUAAUGGACCGAAUAGAUGAUUAUCUCGGCUAGUGGGGGAAAAUGACUAAAAAAAACGUGAAACGUAAUGAGAUAAAAGAUGACAGGCGAGUGGCGAGAUGUUAAACCUUGUUUCUGCGGAGGCGCGGCGUCGGACAGCCGGCUUGCCUAUUGCCUCCUUUUCUCUAUUCUUUAUUUAUUUACAGGUCUGUUGGUUGCUGAACGUGGAAGCAGAUGGCUUGGUGGUCAGUGUGGCGUCGAGUAUUGAACCCAGGGCGUGAUGGAUGAGUGUUUGGAGCUGAUAUGGUGGACAUGUUAAAGCACCCAUCGACAUACAAUUGUGAUUGUCCUGGACAUUGAACGCCUGUGGGCUGUUUCACCCCACCAGCAGGUCAACCUGGUAUGAAGCAACCAAGUCCUGACAUGACCUCACCUCCUCAAGGUCAGUACCCCUGCAAGGGGAUAACUCUUCUGAUGACACACCCCUGAGCAUGGCCAGCUGCAUGAGCACUACAGACUCUGAGCUGUCAGCGGAAAAGACUGCAUGAACUUUUGGUGGACACUGGAGAUACAUAUGGGCCUCUGAGUUGUGGACUAAGACUGUCACUGAAUAUGAUACUGAGAGAAGAAACAGUGUCUGCCCUUGUGAUCUGAGGGGGAGAAAGCAUUGCUAGCAUCUAUGGAGGACUGAGAACAGAGCCUGCUACAACUGGUGUUCUCUCCAGCUAUGGAAGAUGCAACGUCUGGGUUCCUGCUCUUCCUCCCACCUGACCUGCCACACGUCACUCUGUUCUACGACAGCAACCGCACAGACUGGUAUCAUGAUUCUUUAAGGUAAAACACAGACAGUCAUUCUAGGAAUAUGUAUGUGGCACCUGAGCGUUUGGCAGCUGUUACUGCUGAACAAUUUAUAACGAUAUAUGAGGUCGGAUGAAACGAUUUCACACAUUUGUCUUUCUCUCCAUGUUGAGCACCACAAAGAAGUAGGGGCAUGGUUAAACAUUCCCUUCAGGCAACUGAUUGGGCUCCUACCAGCGUGCAGGUUUGUUGUUUUAAAAUAUACUCAUACCUUUUAAGUUAUCUGUGAUGUAACUGAUAAGUUUAUUUCAAACAUGAGUUUGAAGUGUUACCAUGGCCGGGAACGUACUGAUCAUCAUUAAUCAGCAGAAGGUCCACGGAGGUGGGAAUACUUUCAUGUGUUCCAGUUACAUUUAAGGUUAGUAAAGAUAAAAUACCAAUUUGCCAAGGAACGUGUCUUUCGUGGGCUGUGUUAUUUUCCGCAGGAACAACCAAUGUGUCCCCCAAUAACAAGCAAAGCGUUCUAACAAACCUAAACUACAGCGCGUGGAAGACACAUUAUAGUUUUGGGACUAAAUGGCUGCUGUGACAACUACAUGGUGGGUACGUUGAUCUCACGCAACCUUUGAGGGACCUCGGGAAAAUAUCAGGUAUGAUAAAGUUGAAUAAGAUUUUGAAUUGGAUUCAGGAUUCGAGGAAUUUUUUUUUUUCUUCUUACUUCACCAAAGAUUACCCUAUGCAGUUGAAUUGACUAUUAUUGACAGCUUCUUAUGUAAUGAUGGGUGUGGAGCAGAACCCGAUAUUCUGCAGAACAGUUAUUCCUUUAAACUGGAUUUAAUAGAAGACAGGUGAACAUAAACAGGAUCCAAAUAGAUUUAAGGCAGACAUCCAAACAAGGUGGACGGGAACUGGCGAACAGACUUGGCAGAGUAAACUGAAACAGGUAAUCCAAAACAGAAUCAAGGUGCCGGGGCUCUUACCAAAACAGAGAGAGUAACCGAGGAGGAACAGGAGCAUGGGCAUGUGAGUGUGACGGACCAACAAAUAACUGAGGAGCAAGUGAGGCUUAAAUAAAACAGGUGAGCAGAGGGAACUAAUUAACCAUAGGACGGUGGAAGCAAUAACGAUGCUGACAGAAGAAUAAACCUAAGACUGAGGAUAACACAAAGCACAGAACACAGAUAAGGACUAAUACAAAGACCGGAAAACUUAAAACCAUACACAGACUAAACAGGAACCUAAAAUAAGAUAGAACCUACAAAAGAAAUAAAACCAGAGGCAGGAGAGAACUAACUUCACCAAACAAUAAACCUAGACAAAAACAGAACGUUACAUUUUACUGUUGUUUCUGGAAUAAAACUAGUUUGAUUCCAAAAGGGGGAUGUACAUAUCAGUAAAUGUUAGAUAAA